AUGGCAGGCGAGGACACCGACCCCAAGUCCAGCGCUCCUGCUGCUGCUGUGCUGUACGUGUUCUUCUCCUUUCUGUUAGAAGUCCUACUACAGUUCUUGGCUCUAGUUUCUGUCCUACGUAUGUUAGGUUCUACGUCGUAUAAGCAACUUCAUCUAGUGACUGUUCUAGAUGUGUUCACCUCAAGUUCAUAUAUGCAGACGAUGUUUACCUUCUCUCUGUCAGAUUGCAUGACUUGCUUUAUACUUGCUAUUCUAGCCAUGUUUUAUCUACUAUUUCUGUUAAUAAAAUCAUUCGGUAAAUUGCUCAUAUAUCCAACAAUCCAAAAACCUUAUUAUAGGCAAUUUACCCCGAGUGGUUUUGCUGCUUCCAUGAAACCUCCUAUGUUUGAGGGUAUCCACUAUAAGAGGUGGCGCCUGAGAGCAGUCUUAUGGUUUCAGACCAUGAGCUGCUAUGACGCCACUCUUGGCAAACCUGAAGGAGAGCAAGAUGCCCAACAGGCACAAGCUUUUCAGAAAAUGGAUACCUUGUUUAAGGCUGCUCUCUUGAGUGUUCUUGGUGAGAACAUAGUUGAUGCUUAUGCGUCAAUUGACAAUGGAAAAGAUAUGUGGGACGCACUCGAGGCCAAGUUUGGGGUCUCGGAUGCCGGCACUGAGCUGUACAUCAUGGAGCAAUUCUAUGAUUACAGGAUGACUGAAGAGCGCUCCGUGGUUGAGCAGGCUCACGAGAUACAGUCAUUUGCUAGAGAACUUGAGCACUUCAACUGCAUGCUACCGGACAAGUUUGUUGUCGGGGGUAUCAUCACUAAGCUUCCUCCUUCAUAG
RNAcentral lists this ribosomal RNA (822 nucleotides) under Triticum aestivum (bread wheat). RNAcentral describes it as "partial small subunit ribosomal RNA". The record is from RNAcentral. Lineage: Eukaryota; Viridiplantae; Streptophyta; Magnoliopsida; Poales; Poaceae.